RNAcentral lists this unclassified non-coding RNA (337 nucleotides) under soil metagenome. RNAcentral's name for it is "partial contains 5.8S ribosomal RNA, internal transcribed spacer 2, and large subunit ribosomal RNA". The stretch from base 1 to 120 matches the Rfam family "5.8S ribosomal RNA", at positions 35 to 154 of the family's 154-position model. The record is from RNAcentral.
GAUGAAGAACGCAGCGAAAUGCGAUAAGUAAUGUGAAUUGCAGAAUUCAGUGAAUCAUCGAAUCUUUGAACGCACAUUGCGCCCGCCAGCAUUCUGGCGGGCAUGCCUGUUCGAGCGUCAUUUCAACCCUCAAGCUCUGCUUGGUGUUGGGGCCCUACGGUUGACGUAGGCCCUUAAAGGUAGUGGCGGACCCUCUCGGAGCCUCCUUUGCGUAGUAACUAACGUCUCGCAUUGGGAUUCGGAGGGACUCUUGCCGUAAAACCCCCAAAUUUUCUAAUGGUUGACCUCGGAUCAGGUAGGAAUACCCGCUGAACUUAAGCAUAUCAUAAGCGGAGGA